RNAcentral lists this ribosomal RNA (243 nucleotides) under uncultured bacterium. RNAcentral describes it as "partial 16S ribosomal RNA". It matches the Rfam family "Bacterial small subunit ribosomal RNA", at positions 524 to 765 of the family's 1533-position model. The record is from RNAcentral.
UACAGAGGUCUCAAGCGUUGUUCGGAUUCAUUGGGCGUAAAGGGUGCGUAGGUGGCGCCGUAAGUCAGGUGUGAAAUCGUCGGAGCUCAACUCCGAAACUGCACUUGAUACUGCGGUGCUCGAGUACUGGAGAGGAGAUUGGAAUUUACGGUGUAGCAGUGAAAUGCGUAGAUAUCGUAAGGAAGACCAGUGGCGAAGGCGAAUCUCUGGACAGUUACUGACACUGAGGCACGAAGGCCAGGG